RNAcentral lists this ribosomal RNA (413 nucleotides) under uncultured bacterium. Its description in RNAcentral is "bacterial SSU rRNA". It matches the Rfam family "Bacterial small subunit ribosomal RNA", at positions 355 to 776 of the family's 1533-position model. The record is from RNAcentral.
UCGAGGAUCUUUGGCAAUGGGCGCAAGCCUGACCAAGCGACGCCGCGUGUGCGAUGAAGGCCUUCGGGUUGUAAAGCACUGUCGAGGGGGAUAAAAGCCGCAAGGCUUGAUAGAUCCCUGGAGGAAGCACGGGCUAAGUUCGUGCCAGCAGCCGCGGUAAGACGAACCGUGCGAACGUUGUUCGGAAUCACUGGGCUUAAAGGGCGCGUAGGCGGCUUGCCAAGUCAGGGGUGAAAUCCUGCAGCUCAACUGUAGAAGUGCCUUUGAUACUGGCGAGCUCGAGGGAGGUAGGGGUGGGUGGAACUUCUGGUGGAGCGGUGAAAUGCGUUGAUAUCAGAAGGAACGCCGGUGGCGAAAGCGACCCACUGGAUCUCUACUGACGCUGAGGCGCGAAAGCUAGGGGAGCAAACGGG